GACAAAACCACAAUCAAAGAGUACACAUGGAGGAACUCAUGGCUCCAUCUGCAUAUGUAGCAGAGAGUUGCCUUAUCUAGCUUCAAUGGGAGGGGAGACUCUUGGUCUUAUGAAGGCUUGUUGCCUUAGCAUAGGGGAAUGGUAGAGGGGUGAGGUGGGAGUGGGUGGGUAGGUUGGGGAACACACUCAUAGAGGCAGGGGGUGGGAUGAGGUAGUUUGUAGAGGGAAGACUGGGGAGGAGGGACAACAUUUGAAAUGUAAAUAAAUAAAGUAACCAAUUAAUUAAAAGGCAGGGGCUAUUAGACAUUCUUAUAUCAUCUAAAGGCCACCUGGAGCUCUGGGUUAUGUAAAUCCAAAGAGAGCAGGUGCUUAGUCAAGAAAACAGGAAUUCUUUGUUCAGGGAACAGCUUCAAAAAGAAUGGUGAUUUAUAGAGGUAGAGGAUAUAUGUUGAUAGAGGACAGUUGGCAUCCUCUGGGCUACUCUACAUGCCCUGGGCACAUGCAACGGCACAUACCCACUCACAGACAUAUUCACAUACAUGUAAAGAAGUAACUAAGUAGAUCCUUUAAACUAAAACAAAGAGUUGAAUUACAGGCUCUGUCAACUCAUUUACUGAAGGUCUUCUAAGAAAAGCACCAUUCUCAUAUAGAUAAUAAAGCCUCAUUUCUCUACCCCAAGGUGGUCUCCAUUCUUUUUUUUUUUUUUGCUCCUGGAUUCUAUGAUGUUCUUUAGAAGUAUGUAGCUGCCUCUUGUGGAAGAUAGACAUGCAUGUUCUGAGAGCUCAAAGAAAAAAUUAUUUAUGGA
This 805-nucleotide long non-coding RNA is filed under the name Mus caroli (Ryukyu mouse). Its description in RNAcentral is "lncRNA (MGP_CAROLIEiJ_G0005649.1)". Lineage: Eukaryota; Metazoa; Chordata; Mammalia; Rodentia; Muridae. The record is from RNAcentral.